This 502-nucleotide long non-coding RNA is filed under the name Mytilus galloprovincialis (Mediterranean mussel). Lineage: Eukaryota; Metazoa; Mollusca; Bivalvia; Mytilida; Mytilidae. The record is from RNAcentral.
AAAACGACUUAACAGAGAAACAAUGGUUUCGUUGAAAUUGGAAUCAUUCUUAGAUUGUCGACGGUUAAACAACACAUGUACUGUUUGUUGUCGUUAUCUAUUUAAGAAAUAAUUGAUGCAAGCUAUAUACUUUAUUUUAACAAAGGUAGGCAUUAUAUUUGUGAUUAUUUUUGUCCGAGCGAUUGUGAUAGCGAUAGCUACCCAUGUUAAAACUACAAUAAAGUAUAGCUUGCAUCAAUUAUUUCGAUUCCAAAUAGGACAAUUGAGGUAAUUUCUAUGUCCAUGAACCUCCCUUUUUGUUUGUAAAGAAGCAAACGGCUGGCACUGUGAUUUUUUUAGAGGGAGGAGUUUGAACAGCUGAGCCAGCGUGAACGGUUGUCGUAUCCAGGUCAAAUAUGUCAAUUUUGGAAUGCAACACAUUACAGUGUAAUAAAUGAAUUAAUAACAUCUUGUGCACCAUUUAAUAAUUUGAAAGUGUUUUAAAGUUAAGGAAAUAUAUUAA